AAUAAUAUUAAGGUCACCACGCUAGGACAACGAGGAUGAAGAAUCCUCAACUUCCUAAGAGUGACGAGUGAUAUAACUCUUCUAUUAGAAAUUUACAGCCAGCAAAUACUUUCACUCUAAAAAAUUCACGUUGAACCCUUUUAGUGUAUCAAUUGAUGUUGUUCUUUGAAGCCUAAUCUGCUCUCUGAACUUGGCUAUAAACUCACCAGCCUUCCUAUCAACCUCAUAAGUAUCACUUCCUGCUACACUCGUAGUUCCAGACAUGGUUGCUUCAUCUGACCUUUCUCCAAAAUCUUCAUCCUCUCUCUCCGACUCGGAAUUCUCCGCAAACUCUUGAUUCCGGUUUCUGGAAUAUGUUGGGUUUGGCAUGUAAGCAUUACCUCCAAGAUUCUGCCUGUUGAACACAACCGAGGGAUUACAAUCUCCUAAUUUUGGGUCACUUCCACCUUUGUAACCCUCAACCUCUUCAAUUUCAUCACAUCCCUUUGUAUGAUUUUCCUGCUUCUCUGGCAUCCCCAGACCCAACUAUGGUAAUGCCACUGCCUCUAAAGGUUCGAACAGACUUCCCUCUUGAGGAAGCCUUGGAGGGAGCUAUAGGCUUUGCAUCCUAUGCUAUCCUUUGUUGGGAAACGCUUUGACAGAUCUCUGGAAAACAACAGGAAUCUGAUCAGACUUAACUCCGUCCUAACCACGAUAAUUGAUAUUUUGAUAGUUAUAUGCUCCCAAAACCAUUGGAAUUAUGGUCUAGAAGCAGGGGCAUUGAAGGGUCGAUGAGUAACAGGCAAUGGCAAUGCAGCCCAAGAACUAGCGGGUACCGGCCUUUGAUGCUUUGAGUUCGGGGCAGAGGAAGCAGCCAAGGAUGAGGACGAAGAAGAAGCAACGGCCACACGUUCACAAGAAGGGCACAUGGUGAGGGUUGUGGGAGGGUUGAUGUGGGUGUAUAGCUGUGGGGAGAGUUUUAAUGCUCGAAGUUCUUGCACUUCCUUCUGAAGCCUUCUGUUUUCCUCUGUUAGAUUGUCGCAACAUCUUUUUAGAUACUCACAGUCAACUUCCGUUUGCUUCAACCUUGUCCUGAACGUUUGCACCAAUGAAGAAAAACAAUGCUGAGUUUUCAUUUCCCUUCAGAAUACCCUCAACAAUUAAUUGAAGAAAUAAAACAUAACAAACUUACCUAGCUCUUCUGUUCUGGAACCAAACCUCCACUUGCCUAGGCCUCAGAUUCAAUUGCAUUGCCAGUGCCAACUUUUGCUUCUGUAUUAUAAAACACAACUCCAACAUUUCACUUCAAAUAUCAAAUUGUUAAACUACCUGACGUUUUAAAGACUAAUCGUUAACUAACCGGAUUAAGGGUGCUAUGUUCCUUGAAGGUUUCUUCAAGCACCAACGACUGUUCCUUUGAAAGCCUAAGCUUCUUCCUCGAGGCAUCGUCACCAGCACCCCCGCCAUCUUCAUCGUCACUGGAACGAGAGCAAGACGGUCUCUCAGCCUCGGUUUCAUCGCACACAGGGUCUCUCCCGUUUCUCUUCCCACCUAUGCUUGAAACGGUGCUGUUAGGCGAGGAAACCCCAUCUUCCUCGCAUUCAGCCAAGGCCGGUGCCUGGUUCACAUCAAUUCCACCAGCAACUGAUCUUGUUUCCAACUGUCCAUCUGCAUGCAUACGGUCAAUCACAAAACUGAUUUCGUUGUGUUGGUCAAAUCACAGUGAUGAAUGUAAGAGAUAUGCAAUGCAAUCCAAUGAUGGAAAGAGACGAUAAAACAUCAGAUCUCAACAUAUUAAGGAAUAGAAACAGGAAUGAAACAUGACAACCCCGUAAACUGGUGAUAGAAAAGGGGAGAAAAACAUACCAGAAGACUGAAACAGUUCAUUCCAAAUGUUCCUCUGCUGAAGAUUUUGCAUGGAAGGUAAAGCUAAAGGCAUGAGAUUUAGCUUCAACGAGGGCUGAUUCUGAGCACAUCCCAAGCUCAAACUUAACCCCAAACCGUCAUCUUUAUCACCCAUCUCUCCUUUUUUUGUCUUAAAAACUUCAACUUUCCCCAGAGCAGAACCAAUCGAAGUUCUCUGUUUUUUCCUCUUCCUUUCUGGGUUUUCUUCCUUGUGUGUUUGGUUUCUGAGAAAAAGCAAAGCGGAAGAAAAGAAAGGGUAGAAAAUGGCUUGAGCUUUAGCAGCCUUUUUGCUUUUGGUGCAGUGGGACAGGGAAAGGGUGGGACUUAUAUAUAGAGAUAAAACAGAGCUUGCAAUUGGCUCAAUCAUGACUUAUAUAGAUUCAAAUCAUAACUUAUGUCAGUGACCCUAUUGGCUCAAUCAUGAUUAUAUAACCUUUUUCUCUUGGCUGAGCUUGCAAUUGCAUGAAUUAACUUACGCAAGUUCAACACCUUUUUCUUUCUUCCAAAAACAAUUUCCAAAACCACUCACUUAGUCUCUAUACAUUUGUUUCUUGUAUAACUUUUUAAAUAAUAAAAACUCAUUAUAUUUUUAUACUAAAUUCGUGAAUAUUAAAUAUUAAUAUUCACAAAUAUGUAUCAAAAUAAGAUUUGAAAAUAAAAUUGUUACACAAUGCUUGAAAGAUUAAAACCAACUUGGGCACAAUAUUUGAGACAGAUGGGGAUAGAAAGUGAUAACACACCGUUAAUCGGUACUCUGCGAAAUGGUCUAGCAGCAGUCAUGGUUAUUGAAAUUUGAAGAUUCAUGAAUGGUGUUCUAAAGAAUGGCAGGUGAAAUUCCGACACAUUUUGAGAGACAAAAAUAAAGUUGCAGAUUGUAUCAUGAAGGAGGCAAGGGACGUUCCUGGACUUCUGCGUGUUUUCGUGGAUCCUCCGUUCUAUGUAAGGAAAAUUCUCGAAAACGAUAUACCUCUUACUGUGGAUGGUGUUCCAGAUGGAGCUUAAUUGUUUGGGAUUUCUUUAAUAUUGUACUAAAUUCAUAUUCAUAAAACUAACUAUGGUAUUAAGUUGAUCAUAUAUAUAAACAUUUUAAAUGGUAAUUAAAUUUUUAAGUUUCUAAAAUAUAUAUAAAAAUUUGUUAAAUUAUAUGAUAUUUAAUUAAUUUAAUAUAACAAUAAAAUAAAAUUUUUAAAAAUCUUGAAGUAAUUAAUAUAAAUUAUUUUUAAAAUUAAAUAUAAUAAUAAAUAAGAUUUAAAUAAUUUAAUAUGAUAAUACAUGAAAUAUUUAAAUAAUUCAAUUAAUAAUCUUCACUCUCAAACACAAGUUAAAAGGCAAAAGCACCUAAACCCUAGCUUUUGCAUUUGGGUGAAAAGUUUUUUAAUUGAUUUUUAUUUAGAUUUAAUUAACCCACCGAUAUUAAGUCGUUCGUUUAGGUCAAUUAAGGCAUAUGCCAGUAAAUUAGUUUAUUAAAUUUAAGUUGGUUAAAUUAUAAGCUCUCACCUAAACACAAAUAAGGAUAUAUGAAUUUGGAUAUUUGUGGAUAUUCGAUUAACUAUUAUGAAUUCGAAUAAUUUAAAAUUAUCAUUCCUUGUUGUAUUAGAAUAUAUAUUUAUAGACACUCUAGAUUUUUAUUAUUCAGAUAAGGGAUGUGGAUUCAAAUUCGGAUAUUUAUAUUAGUUUUUCGGAUUUAAAAAUUUCACGGAUAAUAGUAUUUUAUUUGAAUUUUUAUAAUAAUAGUCGAUGAUUUGUGAAUAAUAAACUAAUUGGUAUAUCGAUGGGCAUAUUGAUAUAUAUCAUUGGUAUAACUAUAUAGAGGUGAUCAUGGGUCGGGCUGAACCUCAAAAGAAUUUUAGACUCGUUUUUAGGCUUGGACUCGACUUGGCCCAUUUAUAUGGGCCUAAAGUUUUGACCAAGCUCGGCCUAGAUAAAAACGCUAAAACCCGAGUCCAACCCGGUCGUAUUAAAUUUUUUUAUAUUAUUAUUUUUAUAUAAAAAUUAAUCUAAAAUAUAAUACAUCAAAUACACUAAAAACAUUCAAAGAAAUGUUUCCUAACAAAUUGAAAAUAAAUUAAAAAAAUUAUUUGUACUAGCAAAAUUAAAAAACCCGAGCAAAAUAAACUAAGAAAGGUAUAACUUAACAAGCAAAUACUUUUAAAAUAAUAGUAAAAUUAAUAAUAAAACAAUAGCUAUACAAUUUUCAAUCAAUAACAACAAAAUAAUAGUAUUAUAAUAUUAAAAUGACACCAAAAUAACAACAAAAAGCAACUGUUUUUUUUUUGUCAAAUUCAGGUCGAAUCAAGCCCGAGUAAAAAAAACUUACCCACAAAUCAACCCGUUUAGAAAAUAGACCUCUCUUAUUUUGUCCAAUCACACUUUUCAAAUUUAUAUUUUUGUUCAAAAUUUCUAACUUUUCAAAUGAACACUUUCCGAAUUUAUAUUUUUGUUCAAAAUUUCCUGAGAUUGGUGGCCCAACCCAUGCAGCUCUAGCUACACUUAUCUCAUAUCCAUCCGUAAAUAAAUGAAUGUAUCAAAAGGGCGAUGCACGAAAACUCAAUAAAUUUGUCCAGCUUUUGAAUUAAUUAUCCAACACAUGUUUGUAACAAUUAUUUGAACAUGGUUUUUCAUGAACUUGCUCAAACAAAAAAGAAUAAUACUAAUAAAUCAUAUCUUCAACCAUAUAAAGAAAGACAUUAUAGAAUGACAAAUAUUAAGGUCACCACGCUAGGACUACGAGAAUGAAGAAUCCUCAACUUCCUAAGAGUGACGAGUGACGAGUGAUAUAACUCUUCUAUUAGAAAUUUACAGCCAGCAAAUACUCACUCUAAAAAAUUCACGUUGAACCCUUUUAGUGUAUCAAUUGAUGUUGUUCUUUGAAGCCUAAUCUGCUCUCUGAACUUGGCUAUAAACUCACCAGCCUUCCUAUCAACCUCAUAAGUAUCACUUCCUGCUACACUCGUAGUUCCAGACAUGGUUGCUUCAUCUGACCUUUCUCCAAAAUCUUCAUCCUCUCUCUCCGACUCGGAAUUCUCCGCAAACUCUUGAUUCCGGUUUCUGGAAUAUGUUGGGUUUGGCAUGUAAGCAUUACCUCCAAGAUUCUGCCUGUUGAACACAACCGAGGGAUUACAAUCUCCUAAUUUUGGGUCACUUCCACCUUUGUAACCCUCAACCUCUUCAAUUUCAUCACAUCCCUUUGUAUGAUUUUCCUGCUUCUCUCUGGCAUCCCCAGACCCAACUAUGGUAAUGCCACUGCCUCUAAAGGUUCGAACAGACUUCCCUCUUGAGGAAGCCUUGGAGGGAGCUAUAGGCUUUGCAUCAAAUUUCAAGGGAUACCUUGACACCCUUUCUUUGUUGGUUGAUGAACCAUCAUCCUUUUUGCUGUCACAGAAUUCCUCCCAUUCAUCCUCA
This 5286-nucleotide long non-coding RNA is filed under the name Gossypium barbadense (sea-island cotton). Its description in RNAcentral is "long non-coding RNA (GBAR_LNC020535)". The record is from RNAcentral. Lineage: Eukaryota; Viridiplantae; Streptophyta; Magnoliopsida; Malvales; Malvaceae.